Molecule: long non-coding RNA, 471 nt
Filed under: Olea europaea (common olive)
Lineage: Eukaryota; Viridiplantae; Streptophyta; Magnoliopsida; Lamiales; Oleaceae
Description: long non-coding RNA (OEUR_LNC002685)
Source: RNAcentral
UUAAAUUCAUAUCAUAAAAUUCAUCAAGAACGAGAGGUAAAAUCAUAAUUUUGAAGGAGAAGACCAAGCUAGCAUGGAAUUCAAGAUACUUUAUACAAGAAUUUAAAGAUUCAAGGCAUAGAUUCAAAAUCAAGACCAAGAUAUUAGUUCUCCAUCAAGAUUCGUAUAUUGUUCUAUGAUUUGGGUCAUGUCUUUUCGUAAUUAUUUGUAUAAUUCAUAUAUAAUAAUGCUAGGCUAAAUCCUUAUCUGUAUUGGAUGAAGAUGAAGAUGAACCAUGCCCUCCCUCUCUAUCCAUCUAAGGAAUGGAAUUUAAUUAUUUAUUUUAAUUCAAGACAAGAAGUUUAGUAAUUCUUUUAUUAUUUAUUAAUUAUGCAUGCUCAUUGUAUUAUUUAAUUGUUUGAUAAUUAGGUAAUUAGUUGCUUGUUGUAUUAAAACACGGGCUAUUGAUGUUGGAAAUGACAUAUAUCGCGU